RNAcentral lists this ribosomal RNA (492 nucleotides) under uncultured bacterium. Its description in RNAcentral is "partial 16S ribosomal RNA". It matches the Rfam family "Bacterial small subunit ribosomal RNA", at positions 29 to 507 of the family's 1533-position model. The record is from RNAcentral.
AGUGAACGCUGGCGGUAGGCCUAACACAUGCAAGUCGAACGGCAGCACAGUAAGAGCUUGCUCUUACGGGUGGCGAGUGGCGGACGGGUGAGGAAUACAUCGGAAUCUACUUUUUCGUGGGGGAUAACGUAGGGAAACUUACGCUAAUACCGCAUACGACCUACGGGUGAAAGCAGGGGAUCUUCGGACCUUGCGCGAUUGAAUGAGCCGAUGUCGGAUUAGCUAGUUGGCGGGGUAAAGGCCCACCAAGGCGACGAUCCGUAGCUGGUCUGAGAGGAUGAUCAGCCACACUGGACCUGAGACACGGUCCAGACUCCUACGGGAGGCAGCAGUGGGGAAUAUUGGACAAUGGGCGCAGGCCUGAUCCAGCCAUACCGCGUGGGUGAAGAAGGCCUUCGGGUUGUAAAGCCCUUUUGUUGGGAAAGAAAAGCAGCAGGUUAAUACCCCGCUGUUCUGACGGUACCCAAAGAAUAAGCACCGGCUAACUUCGUG